Long non-coding RNA from Alexandromys fortis (reed vole), 785 nucleotides. RefSeq lists it as uncharacterized. The transcript has 3 exons. The record is from RefSeq and is a predicted model, not a curated record. Lineage: Eukaryota; Metazoa; Chordata; Mammalia; Rodentia; Cricetidae.
UUCAUGCUUAAAGCUCAAGCAGAAUUUGGGGCACAAGACUGGCAAAUAUGUCCCGUGUCUCAGUUUAUGUGCGUGUCGAGGUAGAAGAAGGUUUUAUACUGCGUGUGUUUGCACAUAUAGGAGAGAGUAUCCGGGUUCCGUGGGGGCUCAGUUGAACUCUCUGUACUUCUGUCUACCUUUCGUGCUCCACUUGAAAAUUACUGAGCCAGAACAGAGCACCGAGGGACACGUCACAGGCACAGCCACAGCAGAUACUCGGCCUCACAGUGCAGCUCCUACUGACCUGGAGUUUGCUCCGUAGACCAGACUGCCCUCAGAUACACAGAGAUCCACCUGCUUCUCAAGUGCUGGGACUAAAGGUGAUGAAAGGAGACAGAGACAGAGACCCACAAUGGAGCACCGGACUGAAAUCUCAAGGUCCAAAUCAGAAGCAGAAGGAGAGAGAGCACAAGCAAGGAACUCAGGACCGCGAGGGGUGCACCCAUACACUGAGACAAGGGGGAUGUUCUAUCGGGAACUCACCAAGGCCACCUGGCCUGGGUCUGAAAAAGCCUGGGUUAAAACCGGUCUAGCUGAACAUAGUGGACAAUGAGGACUACUGAGACCUCAAGAACAAUGGCAAUGGGUUUUUGAUCCUACUGUACCUAUUGGUUUCGUGGGAGCCUAGGCAGUUUCGUGGAUGCUCACCUUACUAGACCUGGAUGGAGGGGGGUGGUCCUUGGACUUCCCACAGGGCAGGGAACCCUGAUUGCUCUUUGGGCUGACGAGGGAGGGGGACUUGAUUG